CCUACGGGUGGCUGCAGUGGGGAAUAUUGGGCAAUGGGCGAAAGCCUGACCCAGCAACGCCGCGUGAAGGAAGAAGGUCUUCGGAUUGUAAACUUCUUUGAUCAGGGACGAAUAAAUGACGGUACCUGAAGAACAAGCCACGGCUAACUACGUGCCAGCAGCCGCGGUAAUACGUAGGUGGCAAGCGUUAUCCGGAUUUACUGGGUGUAAAGGGCGUGUAGGCGGCUCUGCAAGUCAGAUGUGAAAUUCCCGGGCUUAACCCGGGCGCUGCAUCUGAAACUGCAGAACUUGAGUACUGGAGAGGAUAGUGGAAUUCCUAGUGUAGCGGUAAAAUGCGUAGAUAUUAGGAGGAACACCAGUGGCGAAGGCGGCUAUCUGGACAGUAACUGACGCUGAGGCGCGAAAGCGUGGGGAGCAAACAGGAUUAGAUACCCCUGUAGUC
Molecule: ribosomal RNA, 442 nt
Filed under: uncultured bacterium
Lineage: Bacteria
Description: partial 16S ribosomal RNA
Rfam family: Bacterial small subunit ribosomal RNA
Source: RNAcentral